AGCGCGCGAACAGCCACUCGUCCUCCUUGCGCAGCCAACGCAGCAGCCGCGUCAGCGCAGCGAUGGCCGCCGCCUUCGGGAGCAGAGGGCUGAGGGACGCGUACAGCUCGAAGCGCGGCGUCACCCAUGCCAGCAGGGUCUCGCAGGCGGUGACGCGGUAGAGCAGCCGCAGGGGGCGCUGUGCGCAGUGCAGCCGUCCCUGCAGGCCGUGGUACAGAGCGAACAGCCGCUGCUGCUCCGUG
RNAcentral lists this long non-coding RNA (242 nucleotides) under Gallus gallus (chicken). Lineage: Eukaryota; Metazoa; Chordata; Aves; Galliformes; Phasianidae. The record is from RNAcentral.